RNAcentral lists this ribosomal RNA (494 nucleotides) under uncultured bacterium. RNAcentral's name for it is "partial 16S ribosomal RNA". It matches the Rfam family "Bacterial small subunit ribosomal RNA", at positions 28 to 507 of the family's 1533-position model. The record is from RNAcentral.
GACGAACGCUGGCGGCGUGCUUAACACAUGCAAGUCGAACGGUGAAGCGCCUUCCUUUUUGGUGGGUGUGGAUGAGUGGCGAACGGGUGAGUAACACGUGAGUAACCUGCCCCCUUCUUCUGGAUAACCGCAUGAAAGUGUGGCUAAUACAGGAUAUUCUGGGUCUGUCGCAUGAUGGGUCUGGGAAAGAUAUUGUUUCGGUGGGGGAUGGGCUCGCGGCCUAUCAGCUUGUUGGUGGGGUGAUGGCCUACCAAGGCGGUGACGGGUAGCCGGCCUGAGAGGGUGGACGGUCACGCUGGGACUGAGACACGGCCCAGACUGCUACGAGACGCAGCAGAGGGGAAUAGUGGACGAUGGGGGGAAGCCUGAUGCAGCGACGCCGCGUGAGGGAUGGAGGCCUUCGGGUUGUGAGCCGAUUUCGCCAGUGAAGCAGGACUGCCUCGUCUGUGGGGGGGUUGACGGUAGCUGGAGAAGAAGCGCCGGCUAACUACGUG